UACAGAGGGGGCAAGCGUUAUUCGGAAUUAUUGGGCGUAAAGGGCGCGUAGGCGGUUCUUCAAGUCUCUCGUGAAAUCCCUCGGCUUAACUGAGGACGUGCGGGAGAUACUGAAGGGCUUGAGUCCGGAAGAGGGUGGUGGAAUUCCCAGUGUAGCGGUGAAAUGCGUAGAUAUUGGGAGGAACACCAGUGGCGAAGGCGGCUUCCUGGCCUGUUCUUGACGCUGAGGCGCGAAAGCUAGGGGAGCAAACGGG
This 253-nucleotide ribosomal RNA is filed under the name uncultured bacterium. RNAcentral's name for it is "partial 16S ribosomal RNA". It matches the Rfam family "Bacterial small subunit ribosomal RNA", at positions 524 to 776 of the family's 1533-position model. The record is from RNAcentral.